GCGAGAAGGGUGAAAAAGCUGGGAGCUGGGAGCGGGAAAAGGUCACCAGGUCGCAAAGGUCACCAGGUCGCAAAGGUCAGAGGUUAUAUUCGAACCUAGGUUUUCUGACUCCAGAGCUAGACACUAUGUAUUGGAAUACCUGCCAUCUGGGGAGGGGAAUUUGGAACAGAAGGUUUUGCAAAGGAGAAUGAGCAUCCAGAAAUGGAACUGAUCAUGUAACAACUUUAUGGACUUCAAAAUGUCAGAAUCAUCAGAAGUUCCCCUUAGCAAUCAAUUAGUUGCAGAUAUUACUGGGGUGUGCCUUUGAGUCUGAGUCCGUAAGCUAUCCUGGAGAGGCAAGCUACUUAAUCCAACCCAUCUUAAAAGAACACAACACUGUGCUGAUCCAGUUAGGAGGAUCUAACUCAUUUGAGCAAAGGAGCAACUUAUGCAUCAAUACUAACCUAAGAAAACUUACUGGGGCUUCACAGAGACAGAAAAGAACUCCUGGAGUCUUGACUCACAGACUUAAGUGAUCCCUAACUAUAUGCCUCAAUCCCAUUAUGCAUCCAUCUCUGUUUGUGAAAGAGGGAGAAUGUGUUCUCAAGUUGAAAGGUGUUUUGUACAAACGGCUUUAAGUUUAAGCCCAUUAUAUCCAUAGAAUCAUGCAGAUGGGAGAAUACAUCCUUAAUUUGGUGGGUAUUUUGAAAGGGCAAUUCUGCAUUAUCUUCUCAGUAAAAUCUUUUUGUAAAAAUUGAUACCAACUAAUAAAUGAAUAUUGGAGAGAACAUACCAGUAGGGUCUUUUAAACAACAGUAUUCUCACCUUAGAAUUUAAUAGGCUUGACUAAUUUUUUUUUUUCCUUUAAAAGGAUUUAGAACUAUUUUUAAGAUCUGUUAGCUAUCCAUAUUUAUUUUCAGAUGAAGCCAAAGUACUAUCUGUUCUGAAGAGAAAAGGAUUCCUUAGAAACUCCCUUCAAAAGAGGCAGCUAGAUGACUCAAUGGUAAGAUUACCAGCCCUGGAGUCAGGAGAUUCUGAAUACAUUAUUUGCAUCUACACACUGGACAAUGUGAUGCAAGGACAAUGUCCUAAAUAGGUUAGACUGACCAGUGUAGUAUGGCCACCCUCAGGCUGGGAUAUUUCAGGCUUAAAAGUGAAGGUCUGCUUAGACACACAGAUAACUCAGAUCAAGAUCAAGUAAGCCUGAAAAUCCCACAAAAAACUAGAAGGGGGCAGAGCGUUACCCUAGUACAAUAACCCAAUUUAAAAAGGCAGCAAAGAGUAAGUAAAAGGAAGUGUUGACUAUACUAAAAUUAUCAUCCUGGAAUACUCCCCAAACCAACCUAUUAAUAGAAACUAAUUUCACAACAAGAAGCAGAAACUAAAAAUUUGUUAAUGAUUUUUUUUUUUUUUUAACAAGGAGAAUGUGAAUAACCAGAAAGAAACGAAGCAAGAGACAAAAAAUGAAAUAGAAAAGAUCUGGUAAAAAAAAAAAAAAAAAAAGAAUUAGAAGAAUCACUAGCUUAGAAAAGUAGUAAACCUUAUUGGGUUCUC
This is a long non-coding RNA of Sarcophilus harrisii (Tasmanian devil), 1533 nucleotides long. RefSeq lists it as uncharacterized. The record is from RefSeq and is a predicted model, not a curated record. The transcript is spliced from 3 exons. NCBI's taxonomy places the organism in Eukaryota, Metazoa, Chordata, Mammalia, Dasyuromorphia, Dasyuridae.